RNAcentral lists this ribosomal RNA (901 nucleotides) under uncultured bacterium. RNAcentral describes it as "bacterial SSU rRNA". It matches the Rfam family "Bacterial small subunit ribosomal RNA", at positions 51 to 965 of the family's 1533-position model. The record is from RNAcentral.
ACACAUGCAAGUCGAACGAGCGAGAGAGAGCUUGCUUUCUCGAGCGAGUGGCGAACGGGUGAGUAACGCGUGAGGAACCUGCCUCAAAGAGGGGGACAACAGUUGGAAACGACUGCUAAUACCGCAUAAGCCCACGGGUCGGCAUCGACCAGAGGGAAAAGGAGCAAUCCGCUUUGAGAUGGCCUCGCGUCCGAUUAGCUAGUUGGUGAGGUAACGGCCCACCAAGGCAACGAUCGGUAGCCGGACUGAGAGGUUGAACGGCCACAUUGGGACUGAGACACGGCCCAGACUCCUACGGGAGGCAGCAGUGGGGAAUAUUGCACAAUGGGGGAAACCCUGAUGCAGCGACGCCGCGUGGAGGAAGAAGGUCUUCGGAUUGUAAACUCCUGUUGUUGAGGAAGAUAAUGACGGUACUCAACAAGGAAGUGACGGCUAACUACGUGCCAGCAGCCGCGGUAAAACGUAGGUCACAAGCGUUGUCCGGAAUUACUGGGUGUAAAGGGAGCGCAGGCGGGAAGACAAGUUGGAAGUGAAAUCCAUGGGCUCAACCCAUGAACUGCUUUCAAAACUGUUUUUCUUGAGUAGUGCAGAGGUAGGCGGAAUUCCCGGUGUAGCGGUGGAAUGCGUAGAUAUCGGGAGGAACACCAGUGGCGAAGGCGGCCUACUGGGCACCAACUGACGCUGAGGCUCGAAAGUGUGGGUAGCAAACAGGAUUAGAUACCCUGGUAGUCCACACCGUAAACGAUGAUUACUAGGUGUUGGAGGAUUGACCCCUUCAGUGCCGCAGUUAACACAAUAAGUAAUCCACCUGGGGAGUACGACCGCAAGGUUGAAACUCAAAGGAAUUGACGGGGGCCCGCACAAGCAGUGGAGUAUGUGGUUUAAUUCGACGCAACGCGAA